GAGUUGUCCUGGCUCAGGAUGAACGCUAGCGGCAGGCCUAACACAUGCAAGUCGAGGGGCAGCGGGAGUGCUUGCACUCGCCGGCGACCGGCGCACGGGUGCGGAACGCGUAUCGAAUCUGCCUCUAUCUGGGGGAUACCCCAUGGAAACGUGGAAUAAUACCCCAUAGUAUUACUUCAUCGCAUGAUUUAGUAAUUAAAGAAUUUCGGAUAGAGAUGACGAUGCGUAUCAUUAGCUAGUAGGUAAGGUAACGGCUUACCUAGGCAACGAUGAUUAGGGGUCCUGAGAGGGAGAUCCCCCACACUGGUACUGAGACACGGACCAGACUCCUACGGGAGGCAGCAGUGAGGAAUAUUGGACAAUGGUCGAAAGACUGAUCCAGCCAUGCCGCGUGCAGGAUGACUGCCCUAUGGGUUGUAAACUGCUUUUAUACGGGAAGAAAAACACCUACGUGUAGGUGACUGACGGUACCGUAAGAAUAAGGACCGGCUAACUCCGUGCCAGCAGCCGCGGUAAUACGGAGGGUCCAAGCGUUAUCCGGAAUCAUUGGGUUUAAAGGGUCCGUAGGCGGGCUAUUAAGUCAGAGGUG
RNAcentral lists this ribosomal RNA (589 nucleotides) under uncultured bacterium. RNAcentral's name for it is "bacterial SSU rRNA". It matches the Rfam family "Bacterial small subunit ribosomal RNA", at positions 9 to 596 of the family's 1533-position model. The record is from RNAcentral.